GCACGAACUUAGCCCGUGCUUCCUCUGCAUGCUCUGUCAAAUACAGGAAGAUAACUCCCGUAUACUUCAUCCCCUCUGACAGCGGUUUACAACCCGAAGGCCUUCAUCCCGCACGCGGCGUCGCUCGGUCAGACUUGCGUCCAUUGCCGAAGAUUCUCGA
Molecule: ribosomal RNA, 160 nt
Filed under: uncultured bacterium
Lineage: Bacteria
Description: partial 16S ribosomal RNA
Source: RNAcentral